RNAcentral lists this ribosomal RNA (301 nucleotides) under uncultured bacterium. RNAcentral's name for it is "partial 16S ribosomal RNA". It matches the Rfam family "Bacterial small subunit ribosomal RNA", at positions 509 to 807 of the family's 1533-position model. The record is from RNAcentral.
CAGUAGCCGCGGUAAAACGAGGGGGGCAAGCGUUGUCCGGAAUUAUUGGGCGUAAAGGGCUCGCAGGUGGUUUCUUAAGUCUGAUGUGAAAGCCCCCGGCCCAACCGGGGAGGGUCAUUGGAAACUGGGAAACUUGAGUGCAGAAGAGGAGAGUGGAAUUCCACGUGUAGCGGUGAAAUGCGUAGAGAUGUGGAGGAACACCAGUGGCGAAGGCGGCUCACUGGCUCAUUCUAGACGCUGAGGUGCGAAAGCGUGGGGAGCAAACAGGAUUAGAUACCCGCGUAGUCCCUGUCUCUUAUAC